ACGGGAGGCAGCAGUGGGGAAUAUUGGGCAAUGGGCGCAAGCCUGACCCAGCGACGCCGCGUGAGUGAAGAAGUAUUUCGGUAUGUAAAGCUCUAUCAGCAGGGAAGAUAAUGACGGUACCUGACUAAGAAGCCCCGGCUAACUACGUGCCAGCAGCCGCGGUAAUACGUAGGGGGCAAGCGUUAUCCGGAUUUACUGGGUGUAAAGGGAGCGUAGGCGGCGCUGCAAGUCAGAUGUGAAAUGCGGGGGCUCAACUCCUGAACUGCUUUGGAAACUGUCGAACUAGAGUGCAGGAGAGGUAAGUGGAAUUCCUAGUGUAGCGGUGAAAUGCGUAGAUAUUAGGAGGAACACCAGUGGCGAAGGCGGCUUACUGGACUGUAACUGACGUUGAGGCUCGAAAGCGUGGGGAGCAAACAGGAUUAGAUACCCUGGUA
This 434-nucleotide ribosomal RNA is filed under the name uncultured Clostridium sp. RNAcentral's name for it is "partial 16S ribosomal RNA". It matches the Rfam family "Bacterial small subunit ribosomal RNA", at positions 341 to 792 of the family's 1533-position model. The record is from RNAcentral. Lineage: Bacteria; Bacillati; Bacillota; Clostridia; Eubacteriales; Clostridiaceae.